Molecule: ribosomal RNA, 414 nt
Filed under: uncultured prokaryote
Description: bacterial SSU rRNA
Rfam family: Bacterial small subunit ribosomal RNA
Source: RNAcentral
GUGCCAGCAGCCGCGGUAAUACGUAGGGGGCGAGCGUUGUCCGGAAUUACUGGGCGUAAAGGGCGUGUAGGCGGCCUGUUAAGUCAGGUGUGAAAAUUCAGGGCUCAACCCUGAACCUGCGUUUGAAACUGGCAGGCUAGAGGACAGGAGAGGGAAGUGGAAUUCCCGGUGUGGCGGUGAAAUGCGUAGAUAUCGGGAGGAACACCAGUGGCGAAGGCGGCUUCCUGGACUGUACCUGACGCUGAGGCGCGAAAGCUAGGGGAGCAAACAGGAUUAGAUACCCUGGUAGUCCUAGCUGUAAACGAUGAGUGCUAGGUGUGGGAGGUUGAAAUCCUUCCGUGCCGCAGUUAACACAAUAAGCACUCCGCCUGGGGAGUACGGCCGCAAGGCUAAAACUUAAAUGAAUAGACGGGG